UGAGAGGGCUACAGCUUUGGGGUACCGGGUGGCGUAGUCCACUACGGUUAAAAUAUACUUCUUGCCCGAGGGACAGGGCUUGGGCAAGGGGCCUACUAUAUCUACGGCCACCCUACUAAAGGGUUCUUCAAUGAUGGGCAGGGGGCAUAAUUUGGCCAUGUGGCGGUCACCCCUCUUGCCCACUCGCUGGCAAAUGUUGCAUGACUGGCAGUACUGCCGCACAUCUGUAGAUAUCCCUGGCCAGAAAACGGUGUGGGUAAAACGGUAUCGGGUGCGUGUCAUCCCCAGAUGCCCAGACAAGGGAAUGUCGUGAGCGAUCCUAAGCAGUUCUUGCCUAUACUUUU
Molecule: non-coding RNA, 344 nt
Organism: Pelobates cultripes (western spadefoot toad)
Lineage: Eukaryota; Metazoa; Chordata; Amphibia; Anura; Pelobatidae
Source: the annotation of a GenBank genome assembly